This is a long non-coding RNA of Cannabis sativa, 459 nucleotides long. RefSeq lists it as uncharacterized. The record is from RefSeq and is a predicted model, not a curated record. Lineage: Eukaryota; Viridiplantae; Streptophyta; Magnoliopsida; Rosales; Cannabaceae. The transcript has 2 exons.
GCUGUUAUCAAACAAUUCUAUUGUCCAAUAAUAUUCAUGCUUAUCCUUUAACUUAACUACUUCUUAUAGGAAAGCCAAUGAGGUUUCAUUUGAUGUUUUUCAGACAAAUAAACAAUGGUUUUCAAGAAAUAAUUUUAUUGUAUCCCACCAUAAUCCCAAUUAUGGAUCUCAAUCAAGGAAGUUUGAAGCAAUAAGCUCUCAACACGACAAGAGAGCUAUCUAGCUGAGACUCAUUAUGGAUAAGGAACAAGUCAAAGAACAAAGCCAAGUUGCAUACCACAAAUCCAUAUCAUUAAAUUAUUGUAAAGACCAUGUUUAGGAUAGAAGAUAGACAUGGGAUUUGGUGAAACAAACGCGCUUUACAAAGCCCUAAUCUAAGUAUAAUACAAUAUACUACAAUAAUCAAUGUGUUUAAAGCUUACAAUAUUUCUUAAAAUAAAUGCCCACCUUUCAUUCUCA